Manis javanica (Malayan pangolin) is the source of this 738-nucleotide non-coding RNA. Lineage: Eukaryota; Metazoa; Chordata; Mammalia; Pholidota; Manidae. The record is from RefSeq and is a predicted model, not a curated record.
GCGUGCAGCUGGCUCGGCCUGGCCUGGCCUUUCAGGCGGGAGGCGUGGCUCCGGCUAAGUCAGGCCUCAGGGAUCCCUGGCGGGAUGGCUGGUUCCUGCCCAGCCUUGGAGUCUGGCGAGGAAGUGUUCACAGGAAGGCCUGGAGAGGCGAGGGAACAGCCUACAUGAAAGCAAGAGACUGGAGAGCAUAGGGGAUUCUUCUUUCAUGGAUACGUACUGACAACCCCCCUCCUAAGCCCAGCUCUCGUCGAGUCAGGCAGUCGUGCGUACGGCGGUGGCGGCAGGCAAAGAUCCUACAGCAACGUGCAGUAGGAUAGAUGAACAAACGAGUAUUGUUUGGUGUCAGCCUUAAGUACCAUGAAGAACUACUUUGUGGCCUGUUUGAUUGGUAGCAGAGGUUUACCGGUGCAAGUCGGUGGUGAAAAUGCAUAUUAAGUCAAUCAUUCUUGAGGGAUUCAAGUCCUAUGCUCAGAGAACUGAGGUCAAUGGUUUUGAUCCCCUCUUCAAUGCUAUUACUGGUUUAAAUGGUAGUGGAAAAUCCAAUAUAUUGGACUCCAUCUGCUUUUUGCUGGGCAUCUCCAACCUGUCUCAGGUUCGGGCUUCUAAUUUACAAGAUUUAGUUUACAAAAAUGGACAGGCUGGUAUUACCAAAGCUUCAGUGUCAAUCACCUUUGAUAAUUCUGACAAAAAGCAAAGUCCUUUAGGAUUUGAGGUUCAUGAUGAAAUUACAGUAACAAG